This 1572-nucleotide long non-coding RNA is filed under the name Homo sapiens (human). Its description in RNAcentral is "CCDC26 long non-coding RNA". Lineage: Eukaryota; Metazoa; Chordata; Mammalia; Primates; Hominidae. The record is from RNAcentral.
GCUACAGUGCUACUGGCCCAUAAUCAGGCAACUGCAGAGUCUUAGGGGGUUAUCUAAUGUAGUCUUGGGGUGGCUGGAUAGACUUCCCAAAGAAGGUGAUGCCGAAGCUGAGGUCGGAAAUUACGAAGAUCAGCUAUUGUUCUACAUGAGGCAGAAACAGCCCUCAGUGGGAGACAGAAGACUCAAGAUCUAGAUGUUGUCCUGACAAACAAGGAAGGCCUGAGGAGAGAAGACACAUAGUCAUGCUGACUAAACCAGAUCACCUAGAAUUACCAAAUGGAAAGAUUGUGCCUGCAGCCUGGCCUGUUGCCCACAGCGGUCUACCUGCCACACUGGGAAAGAUCGAGCAGAGACAGAGAAGAAAAGGAGGCUCCAUUUUUCAGGCUGCUCUCCCGCAGGCUCAUGUUUUGUGUUCAUGCCAGGCAGAGAACACAAAAUGUUCCAAUAAAUAAGUAUCAAAGGUUAGUGGUGAAAAUGAAGGAGGAGGAGGCAUUGCGUGAAAAACUAAACAUGCAAAAUAUUACACACAAAGAGAACCAAAAUGCAGGUUCACUGGAAAUGAUAGACAAUAUGUUAAAACAAGAGGAGAGAAGAGAGCUGAAAUAAUCAAAUGGAAACACACAAUUUAGGGCUAAGAUCUUGUUGUGUUCAGCCACAAAUGAUGGCCAGCAGUGAGGAAUCUGUGUGUUCUCCACACUCUUCGCUCCUGGGAAGUCAACUCACAUGGACCAUGAUAUCAAUAUCUGCUCCUUCCCCUAAUAUCUGUUUGACCUUGGGUCAGUUACUUAAACUUCCUAAGCCUUAGUUUCUUUGUCUGGAAAAUAGGGAUAGUUAUACCUACCACACAACCACUUUGUAAUGAAUAUGUUGGAAAUUAUAUGCAAAUUGGCUUCCGUUGGUGUUUGGAACAUAGUAGGUUUUUAACUGGAAUAUAAUAGCUACCAUUAUCAGUAUCAUCAUAUUAAUUUAUAUUUCCAUCUUCAGCCCUUAACCCAGGAUCUUCAGUAAAUGUUGAAUUCUCAAAUUUGUUAAAUUCACUUGUCUAUACUAAUAUUUUACUCUAGGUUUCUUAGAAUAUUCUAGAUAAUAUUAUUAUGUAGAAUAUGUUAUGUAAGCUUCAUCUUAUCUGUAAAUAUAGUUUUACUUUUUCCUUUCUAAUUUUUAUGUCGAUUACUUCUUUUUCUUGGCUUAUUGAAUUGGCUAGGAUUCCCGUACAGUGUUGAAUACGUGCAGCAAGACUGCACAUCUUGCCUUGUUCCUGGUCCCACAGAGAGAAUAUCCAGUACUUCACAAUAAGUAUGUGUUAAUUGUAGAUUUUAUUAGAUUGAGGAAGUUCCCUUUCCUUUCAAGUCAGUCUUUUUAUUUUAAACAUGUAUUGAAGUUUUGUCAAAUGUCUUCAUCUAUUGGAAUAAUUAUACAUAUCUCUUUUUUAUUCUGUUAAUAUUACAUUUCAAUCUUCUGUCUACCUAAAAUCCCUAGAAUAAUCUCCAUUUGGCUAUGAUGUGUUGUGCUUUUAUAUAUUACUGAAUUCUAUAUGCCAAUAUUAUUAAAAUUUUCUGUCUUUAUGAGAAA